This 1462-nucleotide ribosomal RNA is filed under the name uncultured Actinomyces sp. Its description in RNAcentral is "bacterial SSU rRNA". It matches the Rfam family "Bacterial small subunit ribosomal RNA". Lineage: Bacteria; Bacillati; Actinomycetota; Actinomycetes; Actinomycetales; Actinomycetaceae. The record is from RNAcentral.
GACGAACGCUGGCGGCGUGCUUAACACAUGCAAGUCGAACGGUGAUCCUCUGGUCUUCGGGCUGGGGGUGAUGAGUGGCGAACGGGUGAGUAACACGUGAGUAACCUGCCCCCUUCUUCUGGAUAACCUCAUGAAAGUGGGGCUAAUACGGGAUAUUCUGGUCUGUCUGCAUGGGUGGGCUGGGAAAGGUUUUUUCUGGUGGGGGAUGGGCUCGCGGCCUAUCAGCUUGUUGGUGGGGUGAUGGCCUACCAAGGCUUUGACGGGUAGCCGGCCUGAGAGGGUGGACGGCCACACUGGGACUGAGACACGGCCCAGACUCCUACGGGAGGCAGCAGUGGGGAAUAUUGCACAAUGGGCGCAAGCCUGAUGCAGCGACGCCGCGUGAGGGAUGACGGCCUUCGGGUUGUAAACCUCUUUCGCCAGUGAAGCAGCCGCCUUCUUCUUGGGGGUGGUGACGGUAGCUGGAUAAGAAGCGCCGGCUAACUACGUGCCAGCAGCCGCGGUAAUACGUAGGGCGCGAGCGUUGUCCGGAAUUAUUGGGCGUAAAGGGCUCGUAGGCGGCUGGUCGCGUCUGUCGUGAAAACCCUCGGCUUAACCGGGGGCUUGCGGUGGGUACGGGCCGGCUUGAGUGCGGCAGGGGAGACUGGAAUUCCUGGUGUAGCGGUGGAAUGCGCAGAUAUCAGGAGGAACACCGGUGGCGAAGGCGGGUCUCUGGGCCGUUACUGACGCUGAGGAGCGAAAGCGUGGGGAGCGAACAGGAUUAGAUACCCUGGUAGUCCACGCCGUAAACGUUGGGCACUAGGUGUGGGGGCUCUUUCCGGGGUCUCCGCGCCGUAGCUAACGCAUUAAGUGCCCCGCCUGGGGAGUACGGCCGCAAGGCUAAAACUCAAAGGAAUUGACGGGGGCCCGCACAAGCGGCGGAGCAUGCGGAUUAAUUCGAUGCAACGCGAAGAACCUUACCAAGGCUUGACAUGUGGGCGGCCGGCGCGGAGACGUGCCUUCCCUUUUUGGGCGCCCUCACAGGUGGUGCAUGGUUGUCGUCAGCUCGUGUCGUGAGAUGUUGGGUUAAGUCCCGCAACGAGCGCAACCCUUGUCCCGUGUUGCCAGCACGUCGUGGUGGGGACUCGCGGGAGACUGCCGGGGUCAACUCGGAGGAAGGUGGGGAUGACGUCAAAUCAUCAUGCCCCUUAUGUCUUGGGCUUCACGCAUGCUACAAUGGCCGGUACAGAGGGUUGCGAUGUCGUGAGGCGGAGCGAAUCCCUUAAAGCCGGUCUCAGUUCGGAUCGGUGUCUGCAACUCGACACCGUGAAGUUGGAGUCGCUAGUAAUCGCAGAUCAGCAACGCUGCGGUGAAUACGUUCUCGGGCCUUGUACACACCGCCCGUCACGUCAUGAAAGUCGGCAACACCCGAAGCCCGUGGCCCUACGGGGAGCGGUCGAAGGUGGGGCUGGUGAUUGGGACG